CACAGUCUGAGAGAUUCAGCAGCCAUUGUGGGUAGUACUUAUCAUGAUUACAUAAAGGGACUUCCAGGAAACAUUAGAAGUGUUGCAGAAGCCCUGUUUCACUGUCAAAUUUAAAUCAUCCCAGUUGUUGCUCACUGGGAAUAAAAAUACAUACAACUGCCUGUUUUACUGCAGUACUGAAGUAAUUCAACCUUUAACAGCAUUAGAAAACCCCAGUAACAGGCUGUGACUGGAUACUUGUAUUGCUGUAAACACAGUGCCAGCAAUAUCAGGAAAGCUUAGAUUCUACAAUUUAUUAGUCGUCCUUACACUCGCUCUAUUGAUUGCACCUUUAAGACCGUCUAAGUCUUUAAAUGUGUGUUUGUUGAAAGUAAAAUCAUUCACUGCAGGGCAGUCCACUCAGUCAAACCUGUUCGACCUGAAGACACACCUGCCUGGUUCCUGAGGCAGGCAGACAUUAACAGCGACUCAUUGUUGUUCACCAGAGUGAGUCUGUUCACUGCACUCCUCUAAAAAAAGUCCACUUCACAAAGACGGGAGACUCAACCUGACAGAGAGGCGACUCUGAAAGCAAAGGCAGGAAUCAUGGGGAAAGGCGCGAGCGAGGAGUGGGAUGAAAAGCACCACGACACGAGGCAAACCCAGCCCCGGAAACACGAGGAGACGGAGAGCAGGAGCUCCGGGAGCAGCUGCCCCAAAUGCUGCCUGAAGACCCGGGACUGCCUGAUGAGUCCGGAGUGCGGCCGGGCGCUGCAGAUCUCCAGCGUGGUCGCCAUGUGUGGAAUGUGUAUCCGUUGGUUCAUAUAACCAAGGCUUGGACAGCAGCAGCAAUUUUUCUGUGUUUUCCUUGCACAGGAGUCAAGCUGUGUGGUUUUUCUUCCAAUCUAAAGUGGGAAAAUACUCUGUUUCAUUGAUUUGAAGUUCUCUUUAAUCCUAUAUCUGCAAGCUAAUCAACAGAAAUAGAUGUGUUUCUUAGAAGAUGUGUACAUAAACCCAACUAAAAUGGAAAUAUUCCUCUGAAUUCAUCAUUUUAGUGUUUGUGCCAUGCAGAUGUUGUAUAUUUAUAUUUGACAUGUUAUUAAAAAAAUAAAUGAAACUGACUGUGUGUGGAAGAAUAAAUGCCAACAGCCCAAAUAAUAAUCUUUUCUUUUAGGAAAAAUAAAGAUG
This is a long non-coding RNA of Amphiprion ocellaris (clown anemonefish), 1167 nucleotides long. NCBI's taxonomy places the organism in Eukaryota, Metazoa, Chordata, Actinopteri, Pomacentridae. The record is from Ensembl.